Triticum dicoccoides is the source of this 494-nucleotide long non-coding RNA. RefSeq lists it as uncharacterized. The transcript has 2 exons. The record is from RefSeq and is a predicted model, not a curated record. Lineage: Eukaryota; Viridiplantae; Streptophyta; Magnoliopsida; Poales; Poaceae.
UGGCACUCGCUCGUGCAGGUUAUGACUAUGCCGUAGGUGACGUGCGGAAAGGUGACCAAAGAGUACAUGAAGAAUUCUUGCUAUCAACUAGGGCUGGAUGCCCCCAGGAAGAAUGCCUCAAAGCAGGAAAGGAGAUCAGAGUUCAGGGCAUGUUCAGCUCCACCCAUGCAUCAAGGGAAAUAUAUACGACGCAAAUGAUAACGUGUUCUGCUAGAUGACAUAGUACAAGGUUCAGCAGCGACGACAUGAUCUCAAACAUGCCACUGGCACCUAUACUAAACUUGAUUUGUUCUCUCAAUAUGGAGUGUUAAUCUUCUCCUCUGCAUAGUACAAAUAUUCCCUUAGCUCUAAGGAUAUAGACAUGGUGAGUUUGGUUGGAGGAAAUAAGAAUGAUUUAUAAAAGUAAUAAAAGGGAGAUAAUGCUGCUUGAUGUGUAUGGGGAUUCUGAAGAUAUAUAUGAUUGAUACUUUCCCUGCAUGAUAUAGAUUAGUCGA